AUGAAGUACAGCAAGGAGGCCAAGCCCGAGAGGGCGGGCGGCGGCGGCGGCGGCGCCAGGGCCGUGCCGGUGGCGCUCAUGCUCCUCCUCCUCUGCGGCUUCUCCUUCUACCUCGGCGGCAUGUACAGCACCGGCCGCACCUUCACCUUCUCCUCCACCACCACCAGCAUCAUCCCCAUCGUCUCCACGGCGAAGCAGGAGGGCUCCGCGAUCGCGCUCGCCAUUGCCAGGAACGGCAACGGCGACGACGAGGUCGAGUUUUCAGAGUGCCCCGCUGAUUACCAGGACUACACCCCCUGCACCGACCCCAAGCGCUGGAGGAGGUACGGGAACUACCGGCUCAGCUUCAUGGAGCGGCACUGCCCGCCGCCGCCGGAGCGCGCCGUCUGCCUGGUGCCCCCGCCGCGGGGCUACAAGCCGCCCAUCCGCUGGCCCAAGAGCAAGGACCAGUGCUGGUACCGCAACGUGCCCUACGACUGGAUCAACAGCCAGAAGUCCAACCAGCACUGGCUCCGCAAGGACGGCGACCGCUUCACCUUCCCCGGCGGCGGCACCAUGUUCCCCAACGGCGUCGGCGCGUACGUCGACCUCAUGGCCGACCUGAUCCCCGGCAUGAAGGACGGCAGCGUGCGCACCGCGCUCGACACGGGCUGCGGCGUCGCCAGCUGGGGCGGCGACCUGCUGGCCCGCAACAUCCUGACCGUGUCGCUGGCGCCCAGGGACAACCACGAGGCCCAGGUGCAGUUCGCGCUGGAGCGCGGCAUCCCGGCCAUCCUCGGCAUCAUCUCCACGCAGCGCCUGCCCAUCCCCUCGGCCUCCAUGGACAUGGCGCACUGCUCCAGGUGCCUCAUCCCGUGGACGGAGUUCGGCGGGCUCUACCUGAUGGAGAUCCAGCGGGUGCUCCGGCCCGGCGGCUUCUGGGUGCUCUCGGGCCCGCCCAUCAACUACGAGAACCGGUGGCACGGCUGGAACACCACGGUGGAGGCGCAGAAAGCCGACUUCGACCGGCUCAAGAAGAUGCUCGCCAGCAUGUGCUUCCGGCUGUACAACAAGAAGGGCGACAUCGCGGUGUGGCAGAAGUCCCUCGACGCCGGCUGCUACGACAAGCUGACGCCGGUGACCACCCCGGCCAAGUGCGACGACAGCGUCGACGCCGACGCCGCGUGGUACGUGCCCAUGCGCUCCUGCGUGACCGCGCCCAGCCCCAAGUCCCGCGGCAAGGCGCUGCCCAAGUGGCCCCAGAGGCUGAGCGUCGCGCCGGAGCGCGUCUCCGUUGUCCCCGGCGGCAGCGGCAGCGCCAUGAAGCACGACGACGGCAAGUGGAAGGCGGCCACGAAGCACUACAAGGCGCUGCUGCCCGCGCUGGGGAGCGACAAGGUGCGGAACGUCAUGGACAUGAGCGCCGUCUACGGAGGGUUCGCGGCGAGCCUCGUCAAGGACCCCGUGUGGGUCAUGAACGUCGUCUCCUCCUACGGGCCCAACUCCCUCGGCGUCGUCUACGACAGAGGACUCAUCGGCACCAACCACGACUGGUGCGAGGCCUUCUCCACGUACCCACGGACGUACGAUCUGCUGCACGCCGACGGCCUGUUCACCGCAGAAUCACACAGGUAUGUAAUGUGCUGCAGAAUCUUGCCGCCCACAUAUUCAGCCAAGGAAGAUCUCAAGUUGCUAACCGAUUGUCCAUGGCAUUGCAGAUGCGAGAUGAAAUUUGUGCUUGUUGAGAUGGACCGCAUCCUUCGUCCGACCGGCUACGCCAUCAUCCGGGACAACCCCUACUUCCUCGACUCCGUGGCCUCCAUCGCCAAGGGGAUGAGAUGGACCUGCGACAGGCACGACACCGAGAACAAGGAGAAUGAGAAGGAGAAGCUCCUCAUCUGCCACAAGCAGCUCUGGUCGGCAAAGAAGGCAUAG
This 1914-nucleotide ribosomal RNA is filed under the name Triticum aestivum (bread wheat). RNAcentral's name for it is "partial small subunit ribosomal RNA". The record is from RNAcentral. Lineage: Eukaryota; Viridiplantae; Streptophyta; Magnoliopsida; Poales; Poaceae.